AACUCAAUAAAGACAAAAAGAAAUGGAACAAGCUACUUUAGGGAUAACAGCAUAAUUCUUCCCUAUAGGCCUUAUAGAAGGAAGAGACUUUUGACCUCGCAUGUUGAA
RNAcentral lists this ribosomal RNA (108 nucleotides) under Nannoniscus sp. Na17. RNAcentral's name for it is "partial large subunit ribosomal RNA". Lineage: Eukaryota; Metazoa; Arthropoda; Malacostraca; Isopoda; Nannoniscidae. The record is from RNAcentral.